This 1157-nucleotide ribosomal RNA is filed under the name bacterium EBAD56. Its description in RNAcentral is "bacterial LSU rRNA". It matches the Rfam family "Bacterial large subunit ribosomal RNA", at positions 1175 to 2451 of the family's 2925-position model. The record is from RNAcentral.
CCGGGGCUCAGCCAUACACCGAAACUGCGGGUGCAUCUUAUGAUGCGCGGUAGCGGAGCGUUCUGUAAGUCUGCGAAGGGAUACCUGUGAGGGGUCCUGGAGAUAUCAGAAGUGCGAAUGCUGACAUGAGUAACGAUAAAGCGGGUGAGAGACCCGCUCGCCGAAAGUCCAAGGGUUCCUGCGCAACGCUAAUCGGCGCAGGGUUAGCCGGCCCCUAAGGCGAGGCCGAAAGGCGUAGUCGAUGGGAAUGCAGUUAAUAUUCUGCAGCUUGGUGGUAGUGACGGAUGCAGUGUGUUGUAUCUCCUUAUUGGAUUGGGGGUGCAGCGAAUGUGUUCCAGGAAAUAGCUCCACUUUAUAAACCGUACCCGAAACCGACACAGGUGGACUGGUAGAGAAUACCAAGGCGCUUGAGAGAACUAUGCUGAAGGAACUCGGCAAAAUGCUCCCGUAAGUUCGCGAGAAGGGAGACCUCGGUCCGGGCAACCGGAUUGGGGUGGCACAGACCAGGGGGUGGCGACUGUUUAUCAAAAACACAGGGCUCUGCGAAGCCGCAAGGCGACGUAUAGGGUCUGACGCCUGCCCGGUGCUGGAAGGUUAAGAGGAGGUGUGCAAGCACCGAAUUGAAGCCCCAGUAAACGGCGGCCGUAACUAUAACGGUCCUAAGGUAGCGAAAUUCCUUGUCGGGUAAGUUCCGACCUGCACGAAUGGCGUAACGACUUCCCCGCUGUCUCCAGCAUAGACUCAGUGAAAUUGAAUUCCCCGUGAAGAUGCGGGGUUCCUGCGGUCAGACGGAAAGACCCCGUGCACCUUUACUACAGCUUCACACUGGUAUUCGUCACGACAUGUGUAGGAUAGGUGGUAGACGUUGAAGCCUUGGCGCCAGCUGAGGUGGAGUCACCCUUGAAAUACCACCCUUGUCGUCAUGGAUAUCUAACCGCGGUACAACAAUAUCCGGGACCGUGUGUGGCGGGUAGUUUGACUGGGGCGGUCGCCUCCCAAAUGGUAACGGAGGCGCGCGAAGGUGGGCUCAGAGCGGUCGGAAAUCGCUCGUUGAGUGCAAUGGCAUAAGCCUGCCUGACUGCGAGACUGACAAGUGGAGCAGAGACGAAAGUCGGCCAUAGUGAUCCGGUGGUCCCUCGUGGAAGGGCCAUCGCUCA